Molecule: long non-coding RNA, 1250 nt
Organism: Lycium ferocissimum
Lineage: Eukaryota; Viridiplantae; Streptophyta; Magnoliopsida; Solanales; Solanaceae
Exons: 6
Source: RefSeq, a predicted model, not a curated record
UAAAAAUCUUCACUGCUUCAGUUACAAUGGCGCUAAAAUCAGAGAAUACAUCAACAACCAACAGUAACAAAAAGGAAACAAAUUCAACCCAGUAACCCAUAUGAAAUAAAAACUUCAAUUACAGUUGCAUUCAAGGAAGAGAAGAAAUCACCAUGGGAGAAAGGUGCGAGAAAGAUCUGAAGGCGUUAUAUUGGUUUUCCUAUCUUUCUGCGAAAGUCGUCAGAGCAACAGUUUAUUCGACUAUGGGAUUUCACUUUUUCAUGUUACAGUCUUGGAUGGAAACAAGUUAACAAAUGAAAGUGUCAUCAAUCAUUGAACAGGUCAUCAAUUGAAGGCUGUAAGAGCUGCGAGGAACAAGUUGCUGCUAAAGAUUUUAGCCCCCAAAAGAACUGUUUUGGUGGAUGCCGAUAGUAAAGGUAGAUGGUAUUCAGCAUUGACUUCGUGAAGAUGCAAUGUCACUGAAUCUAACAAGCCAUUUAGAUCAAGAAAUGAGCAGUAUUUGGCUGACUCACCAUCUGAGAAGUAUGAGUAUCAAGCAGAGUUCAGUCGUCUCAUGGGCCUCAUUGUUAACAGUUUGUACAACAAUAAGGAGGUUCUCUUAGGGAGCUUAUCAGGCAAGUAUUAGCUAACUUUAUCCUUAAUGUUCGUAUGCCCUGCACUUUUACAUUCCAUCAGUGACUACCUUUGCAAAAGGAAAAAGAUGAAAACAAACUCUUGCCAUAUGAUUGAGAGGAGACGGGGAACAAGGGACAUCUUUGCUGUCUUGGUCACUUAAUCUCUUACUCUUUGAUACAACUUAAGUCAUCCUUUUAUUUUCUGUUUCCUUUUUACAGGUUUAGGCCGAAUGAUCGGUAUAGUCAUUUCGACUCUUUGAAAUUUCUUCGAUUUCGCCGGUUUGUCAGAUUUGUGUUGAUAUCUUUACGGUUUUUUCUUCUUUAGUCACUUUGUGCUUAGUGUACAUACAAGGAAAAAUAGAUACUUGGUAAAAUUGUGUCCAAGCCCCUUUGACAGUGAGAAGUUCACAAUGACUUUAGUUUCGGAGACUCAAAGAUUAAAGAGAUAAUAUACAUAAGGAGAAAAAUGGAAAGUCAAUUAUGUUCUCUCUUUUAUUUGAGUAUGUAUAAUUAUAUGAUCUGGACAUUAGAUGACAUGGCACGAUUCAGAUGGCUAAUUAAUCCACAUAUGAAACGUCUGCAGACACGCGCCUCAUGUUUCCCCAAGCCGGUGUGAGAAGUGUCAUAUUGUGGACC